GACAGGCCGUAAACACGCACUAUCAAAAUGCGACAAACAAUGCAUUACACAGUACAGUAAUGCAUUUUCAGCUUAGAGUGACGUAAACACCUAUAACAAAGAAAACGGCACUUAUCAGACCAAAGCAAAAUAAGCUAUCGAUUCAAACCAGACGAAGCACGUGAAAAAGGAAGGGUACCCGUAUAAAUACGGACGAAGCGCCUGACGCAUAGCAAUGGCUACCUGGUAAAGCUUAACUGCUAAGCUUACGACUCGAACCAAACUACUGUAGCUGUAUCGUCUAUCAUUCGACCUAAAUUGUGUCUCAUAUUACAAUGGACCAACUUUGUUUCGAUUUGGAUGUGCGGCCUUAAACUUUUCUCUCCCCUUGAAUUUCGAGUCUCAAAUUUCAGGUGCUGCUUAGAUUCGGGAAAUUUUUUUUUUCCUUUAUUUCGAGUCUCAUUUUUCAGGUGCGGCUUAGAUUCGAGUGCGGCUUCGAUUCGAGUAAAUACGUGGUUGUACAGAUCAUUAUAACUUCAUAACUUGGAGCAGAUACAAUAUAAAUACAGCACCCACCUUGAAGGCACGACAAGAAGUCUGCAGGUGCAGACACAGAACCAGCAGUUCCAGAAGGGACAAAACAGGGAAAUGAAGAGGAAGCACGUGAAGCAAGUGAUGUUUCCACAGUGGCAACAUCCUCUGAAGAGGAGUAUGAGCCGCCUCUCUUCCGAGCAGCCAGCGAGCAUGAGCUUCCUCCAGAGUUCCGACUUGUACAGAAGCUUGUCAAGAAU
Molecule: long non-coding RNA, 770 nt
Organism: Schistocerca nitens (vagrant locust)
Lineage: Eukaryota; Metazoa; Arthropoda; Insecta; Orthoptera; Acrididae
Exons: 3
Source: RefSeq, a predicted model, not a curated record